Molecule: ribosomal RNA, 532 nt
Filed under: uncultured bacterium
Lineage: Bacteria
Description: bacterial SSU rRNA
Rfam family: Bacterial small subunit ribosomal RNA
Source: RNAcentral
UGGCCUUGACAUACUAAGAACUUUCCAGAGAUGGAUUGGUGCCUUCGGGAACUUAGAUACAGGUGCUGCAUGGCUGUCGUCAGCUCGUGUCGUGAGAUGUUGGGUUAAGUCCGCAACGAGCGCAACCUUUUCCUUAUUUGCCAGCGGGUAAUGCCGGGAACUUUAAGGAUACUGCCAGUGACAAACUGGAGGAAGGCGGGGACGACGUCAAGUCAUCAUGGCCCUUACGGCCAGGGCUACACACGUGCUACAAUGGUCGGUACAAAGGGUUGCUACCUCGCGAGAGGAUGCUAAUCUCAAAAAGCCGAUCGUAGUCCGGAUCGCAGUCUGCAACUCGACUGCGUGAAGUCGGAAUCGCUAGUAAUCGCGGAUCAGAAUGCCGCGGUGAAUACGUUCCCGGGCCUUGUACACACCGCCCGUCACACCAUGGGAGUUUGUUGCACCAGAAGUAGGUAGUCUAACCGCAAGGAGGACGCUUACCACGGUGUGGCCGAUGACUGGGGUGAAGUCGUAACAAGGUAGGCGUAGAUGA